GUAUUGUAUUGCGUUAAACGCGGCGUACAUUCCACAAACUUCUUUAACGUGUGUGUGUAAAGACGUAGAACCGCAGAAGGGAAGCAGAGCCUCCAGACCACAGAGCUACAAAAGGUGCACAGGGGUGGGUGGAUGUGUAAACAGAGCGUGCACGUGCCCCCGUUUGAAGGCCAGCAACAACUCGUGUCAACAAUUCGGUAAUGAUCCUUCCGCAGGUUCACCUACGGAAA
Molecule: unclassified non-coding RNA, 230 nt
Filed under: uncultured fungus
Lineage: Eukaryota; Fungi
Description: sequence contains ITS1
Source: RNAcentral